GAGGUAGAUAGACGACCUAGAGAUUAGUGCACCACAACAGUACACUGUCGACCGCUGCCACAAGUCUGAAACAGACGGUCAAAGAAACCCCACCCCAUCACCUCAUGAUGCAUGAGCUGGAUCGAUCAUUCUAUUAUUAACCAUCUCUCUCUCUGUUUUUUUUUUUUUUUUUUUUUUUUUUUAAGAAUUAACCAUCCCUUUCGAAAUUUCUCUUUCUCUCUGAAUAUUUGAGCCUCCUCUUGGUGUUAUUAUCCAUGACGAAUGACUGGAAAUACAGCAUUCAAUUUAUUCUGGGUUGGUGGAGGGGUCAUAACUCUCAAAAAGCUCCUGAAACUCACCUGCGGAAAAAGAAAGAGAGAAGAGAUGAAAGCCCUCUUUUAUUUUUUAUUUGUUUACUCUGUUGCUUCCUUCAAGUAAGACCACUACUCUGCCAGAUUUGUGUUAUAGCUAGAGGUGAGAUCAGAGAUAUAGAUCUUCAAUCGCUUUCCCUUUCCCUUUCCCUGAUUCGCAUGGAAGACAAUGACACUCCAGCUUGUUUAAUACAAAACCCUUCUUGAAUUUUUUUUUUUUUUUUUGCAGGACUCUUUAACUUUAUGCUUAUUUUUUCCUAAUUAAUUUUUAAUUUCUCUUUUUUAUUACUUAUUUCUGGGUUUGUCAGUGCGGCCUGAUUUUGGUUGAAUUCGCACGGAUUUAAUUACUUUGUUUCCUGAAGUUGCAAGGAGCUAGGUUUCGGUUUCUUCCCUGGAGGUUUUAAUUUUAAGGUUUAUAGACAGAAAUCAAGCCGUGGACAGCCGGAAUCGACACCGUUUUCUGGUAAUUUUAAGAUUUCUUUACCUUUCUAAUCAUAUGACAAAAUUAUAAGAAUUACUACUCCCAAGGAUUAUAUAUAGUGUAAUAGAGAUAGAUUUCAGUAACAACUGGAAACGGAGUACUAUUCUUGAACAAGAAAUUUGAAUGUUACUGAUCUCUAGAUGUAUAAAUUCCAACCAACGAAGCAGUAAUUCAUAAAGACUAUGGGAGAUUGAGAUUCUCUAAUCACAUUCUAUACUUAAUCUCCUUUUCUAUAUUUCCAAUCAGAUUAAGGAAACCUUAGUAAUUUCUGGUCUGCAUGGUUGCAUCACAAGGAAAAGUUAAUGGCGGGAUGUAAAAUCAUCCUGUAAAUUAAUUGUUAUCCUGUUAUAAAAAAGCUAGUUAUUGGCAAGAAGAAAUAGUGGCCGGGAUUGAAAUUGCAUCAUGUAAAUUGUUAUUUUGUUGUCAAUUAGCCAGCUAUUUGAAGAAGGAGAUAAAUCAAGUCUUCUUGCUUGUUAUGAUGCAGAAGGAUAUAGAUGUACCACAUGUAUAUUUGUUUCCAUAUUUCCUUUUGAAUUAUAUGUUGGUUUCAUGAAGCUAGCGGUAUAGAUUGUUGGAAUAAUUUAGGACAUGUAUAGUUCUUACUUCUUAAAGAUAGUGCAAGAGAGCUUUCUUCAGUCCACUCAUGGAAGGGCAAAGGGUUUGGAUUAGCUGCCGACUCAUUCACUCAAACACGGUAGAGAAAACGGAAGGAAUUUCUGCCGCGAAUGUGUGAAUGAUUCGGGAGAUAAAUUUCAUCCUUUUCUUUUCUGUGCUUGGACUGAAGGGAGCUCCCUUUACUGUCUUCUAAUUGAUUUUGUCACAUAGGUGUUCUCAUCCAUGUUUUUCACAAUAAUAAGGUACACUCAAGUCUGCAGAAAAUAAAUCCAAAAAUGAUUGGGGCUCAUUUCUCUAUCCAAGGGGUACUUCACCAUCCAGUGCUAGUCACUCAUACUUCACUUUUCAGUACUAUUCUCCCAUACCAUACCCUCUUCAUCUCUAUAUUAUCGGUUCUUACACAGUAUAGAGUGAAGGAUAUACAUAUGUACAUAUAUAUAUGGUUAGUUUAGUGACAGCCAGAGAUUUAAAGACACGUUUGCCUGAGAAUCGAAAGCAAACUUUUGCGAGUGAAGUGAAGUCACACUGCAAACUUAAAAGAGCUGAACUCCAUUGAUGCUUUACAGGUUAAACAUGGAGGCUUGGUUGGUUGGGUGUCUACUUGUCUGUAUUCUUUUGGAAGCGCAUAUUAUAAUGCAGCAGUAUACUAAUUUGAGGUAGCUAGGCAUUGGUAAUUUGGUUCUCUUAUGUUAUAGAUAAUAGAUAUAGAGCCCGUGCGUUUUGGCAUGACUGUCUCUGUGGGGCUAAACGGCAGUCUCUCAGAGAACCCAGAAGCAGGAAAGCAGAGGUUGGAACUUGUAGCUAUCAGCUCACACCUAUGCUUCAUUGGCCUUAGUGUCGUCAGCCCUAUUGAUGAGUAAAUUAUUUGCAGUUUUUUGCGGACUUGUGAUCUUGAAUAUGAAUGCUUUCGAUUAGAGAAGAACCCUAGGCAGGCUGUGGGAUGAGAACCCUUCAACAAAAAAAAUGUGAUUCUUGCAAAUUUGUUUUGGCAUUAUUUUUGCAAAUUUGUGUGAAAAUAACAAAUUUCUCCUAUUGAAGCCAAUUUUGUAAUGGAUGCUAUUGCGAAGUCACAGCUCGGAUACCGCUAUCACUUGGUCUAAGAAGCUGCCGCUUUCUGCCCUCUCCGCUUUUAAUUUCAAUAAAUUUAGUUUUUAGUUCUGAUUGUAUUAUGAAUUUUAAAUUAUAAUUUUCUUUUCCUCACAAAAAAAAAAAAAGAAAGAAAUUUCUCCAAGUGGGUUGAUUUUCUACUUUUCUUCUGUAGUGAAACCCUUCAUCUGAAGUUCUGGAACCCUAUUAAAAUUAAAAUGGUUUAAAGCUUCAAAAGGUGUGAUGUGAAUAUGCAUGUAUAUGAUCUGAAGUGUAUUUAAAUAUGCAGUUCAUUGGGUGUCGAUAAUGGAAGUACAAAUGUAAGUGGCUUUUUAAUUAUAUUUUUCGAGUAAUGGGCAUCUCUUACUUAUGGUCUUUGAUUUGUACGUUAUUUUAUAGUUAGGUUAAUAUUCUUUCCAUAAGGGGGGGCUUGUUUUGGUUCCUAGGUAGCUCAGUUCAUGUUGCCAUGUUUCUGUUCCCUUAUUUUAUUACUAUAUGCAUGAAGAGAACUCCCAGACGACAAAUAACACCUGCUUAUCAAAGAUAAAG
This is a long non-coding RNA of Rosa chinensis, 3081 nucleotides long. RefSeq lists it as uncharacterized. NCBI's taxonomy places the organism in Eukaryota, Viridiplantae, Streptophyta, Magnoliopsida, Rosales, Rosaceae. The transcript has 3 exons. The record is from RefSeq and is a predicted model, not a curated record.